UUUUGCGCCUUUAAUUCAUUAUGUUUUAAGCACUUUUGUGUAGUAGUUCUCCAUCUUUAUCCCAAUUGGCAUGUUAAGGACCUAGCAAUGACUUCUAAUCAUAUUUGUGGCUAGUUUUAGUAUUUUGACAGCUUUUUGGAUCAUUAAGACAAGCCAAGCAAAGGAGAGAAGCAAAGAGAAGCAAAGAGGAAAAUCAAGCAAAGUGAAGAAAAUAGAGGAUAGCAGCUGCAGUCUU
This 235-nucleotide long non-coding RNA is filed under the name Vitis vinifera (wine grape). Its description in RNAcentral is "long non-coding RNA (VVIN_LNC004661)". Lineage: Eukaryota; Viridiplantae; Streptophyta; Magnoliopsida; Vitales; Vitaceae. The record is from RNAcentral.